CAGAACAUUACAUGUUCUUUGUUGAGAUCAUAGAAGCAAACCUUGAAGUCCCAUGAGAUGCAACCACUGCAUGAGUCUACGUAUGAGAGCAGAGCG
RNAcentral lists this long non-coding RNA (96 nucleotides) under Pogona vitticeps (central bearded dragon). Its description in RNAcentral is "lncRNA (ENSPVIG00000023384.1)". Lineage: Eukaryota; Metazoa; Chordata; Lepidosauria; Squamata; Agamidae. The record is from RNAcentral.